AACUUUUGGCAAUGGAUCUCUUGGUUCUGGCAUAGAUGAAGAACGCAGCGAAAUGCGAUUAGUAAUGCGAAUUGCAGAAUUUCCGUGAGUCAUCGAAUCUUUGAACGCACAUUGCGCCCACUGGUAUUCCGGUGGGCAUGCCUGUUCGAGCGUCAUUAUCCUCCCUCAAACCCCGGGUUUGGUGUUGGACCCAAGUUGUGUGAACAACUGGUCUCAAAGACAAUGACGGCGUCCGUGGGACCCUCGGUGCAACGAGCUUUUAAACGAGCACGCGUCGAGUUUCAAGGACCUUCCGGGCCGGUCUCCUUCUUUUAUUUACAAAGGUUGACCUCGGAUCAGGUAGGAAUACCCGCUGAACUUAAGCAUAUCAAUAAGCGGAGGCU
Molecule: unclassified non-coding RNA, 383 nt
Filed under: uncultured Phaeococcomyces
Lineage: Eukaryota; Fungi; Ascomycota; Eurotiomycetes; Chaetothyriales; Herpotrichiellaceae
Description: sequence contains ITS2
Rfam family: 5.8S ribosomal RNA (bases 1-155)
Source: RNAcentral